RNAcentral lists this long non-coding RNA (8862 nucleotides) under Capsicum annuum. RNAcentral describes it as "long non-coding RNA (CANN_LNC021756)". The record is from RNAcentral. Lineage: Eukaryota; Viridiplantae; Streptophyta; Magnoliopsida; Solanales; Solanaceae.
CUCUAAUACCCUCAAUUACAAUCUAAUCAAACACCUAAUUCCUACAGUGACCAAGACGGAGAUGAACGCCCUCUAAACCAACGUUUCUAAACCAAAGUUCAACAAAAGUUGACAAAUACUCUCACUCAAUGGAGAAGCAUUCAUCAAUUCAUCAAUAAUCAAGCAAAACUAAGAGAAUGAGCUAGCCUCAAAAGUAUUUAUACCUUAGGCUAAUAAUUACAAUUUUAGGGCCCAAAAGUGAUGCAAUUGCAAGAAAAGGCCCGGUAGGGGCUGUUUUGAUCCGCUCUUGAAAUGCUAGAGCAGAUCGAAAGCAGAUCCAAAGCACCUUGGGCGCAAUUCCUUUCCAAGGGGCUUUCUAGCCCCGUUUUGCCUUCCCUUGCCUCCUCCAAUAAUCCUUGGACCAAUGUGAGUGCGAUCAACAACAAAUAACACCCUCUAGAUGGUAAGGAAGCUUCUUUAAGUACCUUCCGCUUCAUGAACAAUCCUUGGAUCCUUUGAAGCUCCCGAACUUGACUUCUAGUGAAUGGCUUGGAGCUAAUCCGGUCUCCAUCUUGAGAAGAAUUUGACCUCAAAUUCAAAGGGGUAUCAUUUUCUAUCAUGUCAAAGAGUGAAAGAUCGCACACAUUAAAGGUAUUGUGCACUUGAUAUUCCGAAGGAAGGUCAAUCUUAUAAGCAUUGUUGUUUAUCCUUUCAAGCACUUGAAAUGGACCAUCUCCUCGGGGCAACAAUUUGGCUUUUCUUUGGGUUGGAAACCUAUCCUUCCGAACGUGCACCCACACCCAAUUAACCAGUUCAAGCACAAGCCGCUUCCUUCCCUUGUUUACUCUUUUAGCCACCUCUUGAUUCUUCUUCUCAAGGCAAAUUCUCACCUUUUCAUGCAACUUCUUCAUGGUUUCCGCCCUCGUCUCUAUCUAAGCUUAUCACAACAUCACUAGGCAAAGGAAUGAGAUAUAAAGGGUAAGAGGGUUAAAAACAUAAACACAUUCAAAGGGAGUCAUAUCAAUACUCGAAUGGAUAACACGAUUAUAAGCAAAUUCGACUAGAGGUAGGUGGUCCUCACAAGAGGCCAUUUUUCCUUUAACUAAGGUGCGGCUUAUAGAACCUAAGGUUCUAUUUACCACCUCUGUUUGUCAUCCAUUUUUGGGUGGCAAGAUAUUGAGAAAAGCAAUUUGGUGCCAAUCCUACCCCACAACGACCUCCAAAAGUGACUUAGGAACUUAAGAGUCCCUAUCACUAACAAUGGUCCGAGGAAUUCCAUGUAUUUUGACAUGCUCAACAAACAAAGAAGCCAUAUUAGAAGCAUCAUCAAUUUUAUGACAUAGAAUGAAAUGGGACAGUUUUGAGAACCUAUCAACCACAACAAAAAUGCAAUCUCUACCCCUCCUUGUCCUAGGGAAUCCCAAAACAAAAUCCAUAGAGAUGUCAAGCCAUGGGCGUUGAAGAAUGGGUAGUGGGGUGUAUAAUUCUGGAGGGAGAAGGCGGGAUUUCGCACUUCUACAAUCCAUGCAUUGGCCACAAAUUCUGGUAACAUCUUGACGCAUCUUGGGCCAAUAAAAUUGUUCCUCUAAGACUCCAAGGGUCUUGUCAAUUCCAAAGUGACCCAUCCUACCCCCAUCAUGUUCCUCUCUUACAAACAAUUUUCUUCAUGAGCUAGAGGGCACACACAACCUUCUUCCUUUGAACAAGAAACCAUCAAACUUAGAGUAGGGCAUAGAAGCACUAUCCCUCUCCCACAAUUCCCCACCCAAUGUCUCAUAAUCGUGAUAGAUUUGAGCAAAUUUACGGUCCUCGGGGUCCAUUGUCUUUAGACUCUCAAAUCCCAUCAAUUUAGAAGGCAAUGUAGAGAUAAGAACAUGCUUCCUAGACAAUGCAUCGACUACCACAUUUUCCUUUCCCUUUUUGUAUUGAAUUACAUAAGGAAAAGUCUCUAGGAAAGCAAUCCACUAAGCAUGUCGUUUAUUGAGUUUAUCUUGGGCCCAAAGAUAUUUCAAGGAUUCAUGAUCGGUUCACAAUCUCCUUGGGCCACAAAUAAUGUAGCCAAUUACCCAAGGCUCCAAUCAAGGUGUAUAACUCUAGAUCAUAGGUGGACCAAUUUAGAGUUGCGCUCUUGAUCUUUUCACUAAAAUAGGCAAUAAGUUUAUGAUCUUGCAUUAAGACGGCACCUAUUCCUACCUUACUUGCAUCACAUUCAAUCUCAAACAUCUUAUCAAAAUUGGGUAAUUGCAAUAAGGGGACGGAGAUAAGCAUAACCUUCAAAGCUUCAAAUGCAUGGGCUUGCUCAUCACCCCAUUUAAAGGUUUAUCCUUACGGAUCAUCUCGGUCAAGGAAGCAGCAAUGGUACUAAAUCCUUUGAUAAAUCGCUUAUAAAAACUAGCCAACCCAUGGAAACUUCUUAAUUCGCCAAUGGAUUUCGGAGUAGGCCAAUUCUUGAUGGCGUCUAUCUUAGAUUCAUCCACCUCAACUCCUUUUGAGCUCACAACAAAUUACAAGAAAACAACUUCAUUCACACCAAAAGAACAUUUUUCAAGAUUAGCAUACAACUUCUCUUUUCUAAGCACUUCAAACACAUUUUGCAAAUGUAAGAAGUUCUUUAAGGGAUUUGCUAUAAACUAGAACAUCAUCAAAGAAUACCACAACAAACUUCCCUAUGAACGGUUUCAUCAUAUGGUUCAUCAACCGCAUUAAGGUACUAGGAGCGUUGGUGAGGCCAAAAGGCAAGACCAACCAUUCAUAUAGACCAAACUUGGUCUUGAAUGCGGUCUUUCGCUCAUCACCCAGUUGCAAUUUGGUGGGUACCCGCUUCUAAGAUCUAUCUUAGAAAACACACUACAACCAUUCAACUCAUCAAGCAUAUCAUCCAAACGGGAAAUUGGGUGGCGCUACUUUACCGUUAUUUUAUUGAUGGCUCGGCAAUCAAAACACAUGCACCAUGUUCCAUCUUUCUUUGGCACUAGCAAUACCAGAACUGCACAUGGACUCAAGCUCUCUUUAAUGUAUCUUGUUGAGGAGUUCCUCAACUUGCCUUUGGAGCUCUUUUGUGUCCUUCGAAUUACUUCGAUAGGCCAGUUUGUUAGGUAAUUGAGAACCCGACACAAAAUCAAUUUGAUGCUCAAUUCCUCGAAGUGGGGGUAAUCCUUGGGGAAGCUCAUUUGGGAACACAUCUUCGUAGUCCUGUAAAACAAGGAAAAUAGAAUGGGGGAUAGGAAAAGUAGAAUGGUUAGCAUGAAAAGCAUAGGCUAGGAGGAGCAGGGGUUUUUUGUCAUCAUGCUCUUUGAAAAGAUCUUUGUUCCUAGCCAACAUCACCAAGGGACUCUUCCCUUUCAACCACCUCUUCUCCUCUUCUUCAUCACGCUCCUCGGUUUGGUCCUUCUUCUCGCCUUGUUUCUGACCUUUCUCUUUCAAUUCUCUCAAUUUUUGGUGACCCUCAUUCACUUAAGAUGGCGAAAGUGGAUGGAGAGUGAAUUUCCGACCAUUCAACUCAAAAGAGAACCGAUUGGUCCUCUCGUCAUGCUUGGUUGAACGACCAUAUUGCCAUGGCCUCCCAAGUAAGAUAUGACAAGCUUGCAUGGGUAUCACAUCACAAUGCACCUCAUCAUGAUAAUUCCCAACUUUGAAUCGAAUGACCACUUGCCUAGUCAACUUCAACUCACCACAAUCAUUUAACCAUUGAAGCUUGUAUGGAGUGGCGUGUUUGGUUGUGGGCAACUUCAAGAAAUCAACCAAAGUAGCACUAGCCACAUUAGCAGAAAUUCCAUUAUCAAUGAUCAAAGAGCACACAUUUUCAUUUAUAAGACAUUUAGUAUGAAAUAUAUUCUCCCUUUGACUAGGGUAUUCCAUUAUCAAUGAUCAAAGAGCACACAUUUUCCUUUAUAAGACAUUUAGUAUGAAAUAUAUUCUCCCUUUGACUAGGGUCAUCUAUCGCCUUACUAAUCAUUGCAUGCCUCACGAAAAAAUUUGGAACCUCAUACUCUCCAUCUUGAGGCCAAGCAUUUUCAUUAUCCUCCUCUACUUGCUAAUCUUCUACGGACCCUUCCCCAUCUUGGGCUUUUUCAUCAUUCUCAUCUUCUAAUCCCACCUCUUCUCCAAGGUAAUACAAUUUCCCUUCCCUAAGGAUGACCCUUCUCCAUCUUGGGCUUUUUCAUCAUUCUCAUCUUCUAAUCCCACCUCUUCUCCAAGGUAAUACAAUUUCCCUUCCCUAAGGAUCACAUAUCUCCAGUUGGGACAUUCACUUGAGUUAUGUCCCAAUCCUUGACAUUUAAAACAUUGAAAACCCUUAGGAUUGGGAGUAGGAAACUUGUUACCUUCAUUCCUUGGCGGGUACUUUGGAGUGGUCUUCUCUGUGGGCUUCUUAUCAAUGGACUUGUAGUCCUUGUUCUUGUUCCAUCUCGAUGACAAUUGGGCUACCUCUUUAUUCUUACUCCAUGGGUUGGUAGAUGAGUACCUUUUUGGUUUGUAAGUUGCCCUUUCUUUGAUAUCCCUCUCAAUCUCCACAGCCACUUGAAAGAUUUCUUCUAUGGUCUCAAACUUGUAGAUAGUCAUGCAUGAGGAGAUAUCUUUGAUCAACCCAACUUUAAAGCAUAUGAUGUCAUGGUUCAUGUUCUCUCGAUGAUCGAGCUUCAAGACAAUUGUUGGAAUUCAUCAUAAUAGGCCACAACACUCUUACUACCUUGCCUCAAGUUGUACAACUUGGCACGUAGCUCGUGUCUAUACCUCUCCAAAGCAUACCUUUGCCUCAUGAAUACCUUCAACGCAACCCAUGGAGGGGUUGUCCUUCAUUCAACACAUUUCCAAAUCUUUUGACACAAUCCCACCAUGUGUUGGCAUACCCUUCAAAAUGGGCUGUGGCAUAGCAAUUUUUCUUCUCUUCGGUGACAUCAUUAACUUGGAAGAUCCUUUCACAAGAGGACUCCCAUGAGAGAUAAGCUUCGGGAUCACUAUCGUCUUUGAAAGUUGGAAGACUAACCUUGAUUGAAUUGAUACCCACAUCUCGAUCCCUAUUACAUUGUUGGUUCCAUUGAUCAUAACUUGGGGGCGGUUUCCCAAGUUUCCUCUACCAUUAGGCGCCGGACCAAAUCUUCCUCCUCGACCUCGAUAACCUCAUUGAUCCAUUGGUCUACCUCUCAUUUCCUCUACCAACAUGUCGACUUCAUCGAAUGCUUUGAACUCCGCUUGUUGUUCUUCCCUUUUUUCCUCGUCUAUUUGGAUGGGUUGGUUUUGGUUAAGGGGUGCUUGGAAUAGGGGAAUUUGGUUAAGCGGAGGUUGGGGUAUUCAGGUUCGAGAUUCAUCCUUUUGUGUUUAGUUGAAUUGAGGUUGGAGUGGUCGAACUGGAUUUCGGUUUUGUGGAUAUAUAGUGACUUGAGGAAUGGGAUCAUGUGCUUGUAUUAGUGGAUUGAUCAUUUGGUGACGGUUUUUCGAGGAAACAUGAACCGACGGAUUUGGAGCAUGCCCACUAGUCAAAGCAUGGUGGUGUUGAGGUGUGGAUAGGGAUGUGUUUUCCGACCUUCCAUGAUAUCCACUCUGCCACCAACGAGGGAUACACUCCCUUCAAGAGAAUCCACCUUAAGGACAACUGAAUUUAUCUUAGCGUCCAUAGAAUCAAUUUUACAAUUGAGAGUUUCAAUGGCCGCUAAGAUAGCAUUUGUUAGAGUGGUUAUCCAUGGUUUGGGAAGUUUCGUCGUCCGUAGCCACUGUACCUAUGAAGAAAGACACUCAAAAAACAAAAAAACACGUUAGCGUUAAAGAAAUUAUCCUCACAAACUCUUCAAACCUUUGUUUACCUCACAAUUGGAUCACAAAUGUUGAAAGAUACUUCGCGUGGUAAUUGAGGUGUCAAGUUCUACUCUUGAUUGAAUUGGAUUCUUGUUUGAAGGACUCAAAUAAAGAUGUAAGGACUUCGAUCAAGAAUUAACAACGAUAUCAAAAAAAGAAAAUCUUGAAAGAAAUGGGACGAUGAAUAAAUUCGGACUCAAGAUAGUAGGUGAAUUACUAGUUGUUGAUAGUUUUAAGAAUCAAGAGUUGAAUUUAAGAAUCAAGGAAUGAAACUAAGGAAUCAAACCUGAGCAAAUUGGAGUUUAGAAGUAUUAGAAUGCAUUUGAAACUUGAAUUGGACGUUGAGAAGGCUUGACAUGUGUUUCAGAGGUGUCACACACCUUGGGCGCACCUCUAGAGCACUUCCAGUGUAGGUGGGGAAGGCUACCCACUGUUUUGACCUAUGGCAACAGUUCCAGCGCACCUCCAGCACAAGUUGGACGCAGGAGAGGCCUUAGACACAGCCUUGUUGAGGUGCAACAGCAGGUUGGGAGCAGCAGGCUGGGGGCAGCUGCAGCACACCUUGGGCGCAGGUCAAUGGCAAGUCGGCCGCCCUUUGCUCGUUCCAAGGACGAAAAUGCCCUUUCUUGAUGCCCUUUGUGUAAUUUCUCUUCAAAUAUUCUUGAAAUCUUUUUAGAUGCUCAAACACAUACCCUUUCACUCUUUUUCUUCCUUCUUUUUGGAUCAAACACCCUCGUUUGUAUGAACUUUCAAUAUAAAUAUAACAAUCUCCUCAAGAACACAUAAAGAACUUUUUCUCCGGAGCUUGAAAUGAAUGAGUUGAAAUUUUGAACAUAGGCACUUCUUAGCCUCUUAACUCAUUCCAAACAUCAAUUUGCCCAAUAUCUUCACCAAAAUCUUCAGAUUUUUAAUUCACUUCAAACAUCUUCAAUCCAAGCUUCCAACAAGGACAGAACACUCAAAUAAGCUACAAUUUCACUCAAAUUUGAUUUAUAGACUCGUAUAGUGUUAGGGAAUGCAAAUCUAACACUAGAAACACAAGAAAACACAAAAAUUAAAAACUCCAAAUGUGACCUAAGACCUAAAAGGUGAAUAGUAAAAUAUUUUUUGUGAUUUACAAUUUUCUAAGACGACUAGACCCAAGAUUGACUUCGUAGGAAUGAAAUUAAGCUCAGUGCUGAUAACAAAUGAUACAAAAUCGAACUACGAAAACUAACAACGAUACCAAAAAGUAAAGAUAAUCGAUAAGAUAGAUGAUUAGACACAAGAAAAGAAGUAACCAAGAACAAAAGAGUAUGUCAAACUCUAAUACCCUCAAUUACAAUCUAAUCAAACACCUAAUUCCUACAGCGACCAAGAGGGAGAUGAACGCCCUCUAAACCAAAGUUCAACAAAAGUUGACAAAUACUCUCACUCAAUGGAGAAGCAUUCAUCAAUUCAUCAAUAAUCAAGCAAAACUAAGAGAAUGAGCUAGCCUCAAAAGUAUUUAUACCGUAAGCUAAUAAUUACAAUUUUAGGGCCCAAAAGUGACCCAAUUGCAAGAAAAGGCCCGCUAGGGGCUAUUUUAAUCCGCUCUUGAAAUGCUAGAGUGGAUCAAAAGCGGAUCCAAAGCACCUUGAGCGCAAUUCCUUUCCAAGGGGCUUUCUAGCCCCGUUUGGCCUUCCCUUGCCUCCUCCAAUGAUCCUUGGACCAAUGUGAAUGCGAUCAUCAACAAACAACACCCCCUUGAUGGUAAGGAGGCUUCUUCAAGUACCUCCCGCUUCAUGAACAAUCCUUGGAUCCUUUGAAGCUCCCGGGCUUGACUUGUAGUGAAUGGCUUGGAGCUAAUUCGGAUUGUAUCAAAUAGGAACUACUAAGAAGCACAUUCUGGACCUAAACAACCUGGCAAUGACAAGGGUGCCUAUAUGGCAAGAUGCUGCAGCAGACAGUCAGGCUUAGUAAAGUUCGAAGGAGAAUGCAAGAUUAGAAAGAGGACAAGGUCGGACAAUACUCCGAGAAAUAGGGGACUAUCUUUUUUGUAAAAUUGCUAACUGUUUCUAUUUCUAAACUGAAAACCAUAUUCAAAUAAGGAACUCUAAAGAUGCUGAAAUGGGGGACUGUCUUUAAGGAGAGAACCUGAAUGAGUCUAUCUAUCGAUAGGAGGGGAGGAAGGAAAAUUCGCAGUGAAAUCUUGAUCUGAGGUUUUGAGUAACAUUUUACAAGGGAAAAAAAAUAGUCAUGGAAAAUUAAUUGAAAAACAACGCUCCCUCAUAAGUUGCUUAUUUUGCCUGGAUAACUGCAUAUGAGGCUAGCCUAAUUAAGACAUUUUAUAAAGGUGAAGGAUGAAUAUAGUACGAGAUGCUUUCUAAGCGCUCAAGUUGAUUUGGAACUCCAGCAAAUUUGUCUCUGCACAGUAACUUCAGGUGGCAGAUAUGGGUUCAUUUGUUACAAUGGGUUAUGCCAUGAACAGUGAAGGAUGCCGUUGACAUCUGGAAAGGGAAGCAAGCAAGCAAUUGGAGGCCGUUUGGAACACUGCCGCAUGCAUUCGACUGAAUGUAUAGAAGACAUGUAACUGCAGAAGUUUCUAAGAAAAAUCGCGGGUUGUACCAAACCGAAAAGUUUUGGUAUACGAUGAACAAUUUAAAUAAUGUUGACACAUUGAUGCACUUUAUUGACUCCUAUGUUAUUUAAGUAGCGUUAGUCCUUUUCAUCUUUGCACCUUCUUGGACAUAAUCAAUAGGAAGCUCCAUUUUAGUAAGAUCUGGUUCUCCAGAUUUUGUUGCAGUUGCACUCAAUGAACUAGCGUAUGAAAGAGGAAGACAAUACAAAUGCAAUAAUAUCUGAAAGCAACCUCAACGGCAGAUCUAUGUCCAAUGAACGACUUCUUUCAGUUCCCCUGAACGAGUAAAUGUUAAAUACAUUCAGUUCUCUGCAUGCUUUGAAGUAUAGUUACCAAGUAAAUUUCCACGUUUCAUGUUUUAAUGAUUCAUGAAAGACAACAUAUGUGGAAUGUUGCUAGUAUUUAUUACAAACCAAGUACAAUAAAAGAAUAGAAGAAAAAUGAGUGACAUCGAAAGAUAACACAUGACAGUCGAUGGAUAAAAUACAUACUUG